RNAcentral lists this ribosomal RNA (467 nucleotides) under uncultured bacterium. Its description in RNAcentral is "bacterial SSU rRNA". It matches the Rfam family "Bacterial small subunit ribosomal RNA", at positions 355 to 825 of the family's 1533-position model. The record is from RNAcentral.
UAGGGAAUAUUGGGCAAUGGAGGGAACUCUGACCCAGCCAUGCCGCGUGCAGGAUGAAGGCGUUAUGCGUUGUAAACUGCUUUUUAUAUAGGAAGAAAUAGUCCUUGCGAGGAAAGUUGACGGUACUAUAUGAAUAAGCACCGGCUAACUCCGUGCCAGCAGCCGCGGUAAUACGGAGGGUGCAAGCGUUGUCCGGAUUUAUUGGGUUUAAAGGGUGCGUAGGCGGUUUAUUAAGUCAGUGGUGAAAGACGGUCGCUCAACGAUUGCAGUGCCAUUGAUACUGGUAGACUUGAGUAUGAUUGAGGUAGCUGGAAUGGAUAGUGUAGCGGUGAAAUGCAUAGAUAUUAUCCAGAACACCAAUUGCGUAGGCAAGUUACUAAGUCAUAACUGACGCUGAGGCACGAAAGUGUGGGUAUCAAACAGGAUUAGAUACCCAGGUAGUCCCUGAGCGGGCUGGCAAGGCGCAU